This 2922-nucleotide ribosomal RNA is filed under the name Bacillus cereus. RNAcentral's name for it is "23S ribosomal RNA". It matches the Rfam family "Bacterial large subunit ribosomal RNA". Lineage: Bacteria; Bacillati; Bacillota; Bacilli; Caryophanales; Bacillaceae. The record is from RNAcentral.
GGUUAAGUUAGAAAGGGCGCACGGUGGAUGCCUUGACACUAGGAGUCGAUGAAGGACGGGACUAACGCCGAUAUGCUUCGGGGAGCUGUAAGUAAGCUUUGAUCCGAAGAUUUCCGAAUGGGGAAACCCACCAUACGUAAUGGUAUGGUAUCCUUAUCUGAAUACAUAGGGUAAGGAAGACAGACCCAGGGAACUGAAACAUCUAAGUACCUGGAGGAAGAGAAAGCAAAUGCGAUUUCCUGAGUAGCGGCGAGCGAAACGGAACAUAGCCCAAACCAAGAGGCUUGCCUCUUGGGGUUGUAGGACAUUCUAUACGGAGUUACAAAGGAACGAGGUAGACGAAGCGACCUGGAAAGGUCCGUCGUAGAGGGUAACAACCCCGUAGUCGAAACUUCGUUCUCUCUUGAAUGUAUCCUGAGUACGGCGGAACACGUGAAAUUCCGUCGGAAUCUGGGAGGACCAUCUCCCAAGGCUAAAUACUCCCUAGUGAUCGAUAGUGAACCAGUACCGUGAGGGAAAGGUGAAAAGCACCCCGGAAGGGGAGUGAAAGAGAUCCUGAAACCGUGUGCCUACAAAUAGUCAGAGCCCGUUAAUGGGUGAUGGCGUGCCUUUUGUAGAAUGAACCGGCGAGUUACGAUCCCGUGCGAGGUUAAGCUGAAGAGGCGGAGCCGCAGCGAAAGCGAGUCUGAAUAGGGCGUUUAGUACGUGGUCGUAGACCCGAAACCAGGUGAUCUACCCAUGUCCAGGGUGAAGUUCAGGUAACACUGAAUGGAGGCCCGAACCCACGCACGUUGAAAAGUGCGGGGAUGAGGUGUGGGUAGCGGAGAAAUUCCAAUCGAACCUGGAGAUAGCUGGUUCUCCCCGAAAUAGCUUUAGGGCUAGCCUUAAGUGUAAGAGUCUUGGAGGUAGAGCACUGAUUGGACUAGGGGUCCUCAUCGGAUUACCGAAUUCAGUCAAACUCCGAAUGCCAAUGACUUAUCCUUAGGAGUCAGACUGCGAGUGAUAAGAUCCGUAGUCAAAAGGGAAACAGCCCAGACCGCCAGCUAAGGUCCCAAAGUGUGUAUUAAGUGGAAAAGGAUGUGGAGUUGCUUAGACAACUAGGAUGUUGGCUUAGAAGCAGCCACCAUUUAAAGAGUGCGUAAUAGCUCACUAGUCGAGUGACUCUGCGCCGAAAAUGUACCGGGGCUAAAUACACCACCGAAGCUGCGGAUUGAUACCAAUGGUAUCAGUGGUAGGGGAGCGUUCUAAGGACAGUGAAGUCAGACCGGAAGGACUGGUGGAGUGCUUAGAAGUGAGAAUGCCGGUAUGAGUAGCGAAAGACGGGUGAGAAUCCCGUCCACCGAAUGCCUAAGGUUUCCUGAGGAAGGCUCGUCCGCUCAGGGUUAGUCAGGACCUAAGCCGAGGCCGACAGGCGUAGGCGAUGGACAACAGGUUGAUAUUCCUGUACCACCUCUUUAUCGUUUGAGCAAUGGAGGGACGCAGAAGGAUAGAAGAAGCGUGCGAUUGGUUGUGCACGUCCAAGCAGUUAGGCUGAUAAGUAGGCAAAUCCGCUUAUCGUAAAGGCUGAGCUGUGAUGGGGAAGCUCCUUAUGGAGCGAAGUCUUUGAUUUCCCGCUGCCAAGAAAAGCUUCUAGCGAGAUAAAAGGUGCCUGUACCGCAAACCGACACAGGUAGGCGAGGAGAGAAUCCUAAGGUGUGCGAGAGAACUCUGGUUAAGGAACUCGGCAAAAUGACCCCGUAACUUCGGGAGAAGGGGUGCUUUCUUAACGGAAAGCCGCAGUGAAUAGGCCCAAGCGACUGUUUAGCAAAAACACAGCUCUCUGCGAAGCCGUAAGGCGAAGUAUAGGGGGUGACACCUGCCCGGUGCUGGAAGGUUAAGGAGAGGGGUUAGCGUAAGCGAAGCUCUGAACUGAAGCCCCAGUAAACGGCGGCCGUAACUAUAACGGUCCUAAGGUAGCGAAAUUCCUUGUCGGGUAAGUUCCGACCCGCACGAAAGGUGUAACGAUUUGGGCACUGUCUCAACCAGAGACUCGGUGAAAUUAUAGUACCUGUGAAGAUGCAGGUUACCCGCGACAGGACGGAAAGACCCCGUGGAGCUUUACUGUAGCCUGAUAUUGAAUUUUGGUACAGUUUGUACAGGAUAGGCGGGAGCCAUUGAAACCGGAGCGCUAGCUUCGGUGGAGGCGCUGGUGGGAUACCGCCCUGACUGUAUUGAAAUUCUAACCUACGGGUCUUAUCGACCCGGGAGACAGUGUCAGGUGGGCAGUUUGACUGGGGCGGUCGCCUCCUAAAGUGUAACGGAGGCGCCCAAAGGUUCCCUCAGAAUGGUUGGAAAUCAUUCGUAGAGUGCAAAGGCAUAAGGGAGCUUGACUGCGAGACCUACAAGUCGAGCAGGGACGAAAGUCGGGCUUAGUGAUCCGGUGGUUCCGCAUGGAAGGGCCAUCGCUCAACGGAUAAAAGCUACCCCGGGGAUAACAGGCUUAUCUCCCCCAAGAGUCCACAUCGACGGGGAGGUUUGGCACCUCGAUGUCGGCUCAUCGCAUCCUGGGGCUGUAGUCGGUCCCAAGGGUUGGGCUGUUCGCCCAUUAAAGCGGUACGCGAGCUGGGUUCAGAACGUCGUGAGACAGUUCGGUCCCUAUCCGUCGUGGGCGUAGGAAAUUUGAGAGGAGCUGUCCUUAGUACGAGAGGACCGGGAUGGACGCACCGCUGGUGUACCAGUUGUUCUGCCAAGGGCAUAGCUGGGUAGCUAUGUGCGGAAGGGAUAAGUGCUGAAAGCAUCUAAGCAUGAAGCCCCCCUCAAGAUGAGAUUUCCCAUAGCGUAAGCUAGUAAGAUCCCUGAAAGAUGAUCAGGUUGAUAGGUUCGAGGUGGAAGCAUGGUGACAUGUGGAGCUGACGAAUACUAAUAGAUCGAGGACUUAACCAU